CCCAGACUCCUACGGGAGGCAGCAGUGGGGAAUAUUGCACAAUGGGGGGAACCCUGAUGCAGCGACGCCGCGUGGGUGAAGGAGUACUUCGGUACGUAAAGCCCUAUCAGCAGGAAAGAAAAUGACGGUACCUGACUAAGAAGCCCCGGCUAACUACGUGCCAGCAGCCGCGGUAAUACGUAGGGGGCAAGCGUUAUCCGGAUUUACUGGGUGUAAAGGGAGCGUAGACGGCAGUGCAAGUCCGGAGUGAAAGCCCGGGGCUCAACCCUGGGACUGCUCUGGAAACUGUAAAGCUGGAGUGCGGGAGGGGCAGGCGGAAUUCCUGGUGUAGCGGUGAAAUGCGUAGAUAUCAGGAGGAACACCGGCGGCGAAGGCGGCCUGCUGGACCGUAACUAACGUUGAGGCUCGAAAGCGUGGGGAGCAAACAGGAUUAGAUACCCGGGUACA
RNAcentral lists this ribosomal RNA (447 nucleotides) under uncultured bacterium. Its description in RNAcentral is "bacterial SSU rRNA". It matches the Rfam family "Bacterial small subunit ribosomal RNA", at positions 330 to 794 of the family's 1533-position model. The record is from RNAcentral.